CAUCCCGUUUCUGGUGUCCAGAGAGGGGACCAGGGCUCAUCCAGCCGGAAUCAAUCGGGGAGGCGCACCCAGCCCAGACAGUCGGCGGCAGGGACCCCUCAGCGGCCUGCCUCCACCCCACCCCAGCCCCUCGCUGUGCCUGGAGGCUCCUGGUCGCGGGCCGCUUCCUUCUCCUGGGGGGGUACCCUGAGAGCCCCCACGCUGCCCGGAGGUCAUCGGUCCAGGGUCUCUGGGUGAGGUCAUCCCGGGACGCGAGUUCCCGCCCCUCCUGGAGUCCUGGACUUUCCCAUCACAAAAGGCAUCUUCUGCCUCCUCCGUGGCCAGCGAGGACCCUCUGCGCCAUCCCUGGGGACUGCCUCGUCCUCCCCCUCUGCCUACCCUGCCUGCGCGCCCACAUCAAGGGGGUUUUAUGCACGCUCCCUCACUUUUGACUAACAUAGGGGUCUCGGAUCCUGCGGCCUCCUCCAGUGAGGUUCGGACGCCAGAGCCCGCAAAGCCCAGGCUUCGCGAGGCAGAUGGGGGUGGGGGGUGCUGCGGCAAGGGGGUGGUAGCUGCAGGGCCGGGGUCCGCUGCCCCGGAACGCAGGACUCGAGGUUUCUUAUGGACACAGCGCCACCCCCACCCCCGCAUGACCGCCGCGGGGAAAGCCAGGAAGAGGAACGGGCUCCCGGGUCUGAACCGCUCGCUAGGGGCACAGGGCGCUGCUGGUCACGCGAAGAAACCGACUCAGGCCAGAGUAGGAAAUUUUGUGCCUUGAAUAAUGAAUCCCCCUGGAGCCCACGGUACCUGUACUUCUCUUUAGUGUCCUCUGAGAAUAACGUGUUCGACAUUCAAGUGACAACGCUGGAAAGGAUUUCAAAGCCCUGGAGCCCCAGCCAGCUCUGCACCCUGAUGGCUCUUCUGCCUGCCCUCUCUUUGGCUUCCAAAUGCAGCAAGUUCUUUCUUUACUUAAAAUAUAUUCAUCUUUUACACGGGUCCUGGUUGUCCACAGAAACACAGCCCAGAUAAGCAGGCUCUUCUAAAUUUGAACCAGCCCUGCUGGUACAAAGGUUCCAAACUGCUAAGGUCCCCAGUAUACUACUUAGAUUUUUUUUUAAUGGAAAAACCAGGGACCAGAGAGGUGCAAUGUCUUGUCCCAAGCCAAAAUAGGCUUUUCUGAUGUUGAUAUUGUUUGACUGGCUCAGGCUGGCUUUCUAUGAGGAAAAAAAUAGUAAACACGCAGUAAUUUAAUAAAAGGGACAUGGUUUAAGUUGUAAGCAGUAUUCGAGCCUUUGGGACACUGCAUGGUGCUGAGCAGCUAUUUUGUAGAGGUUUGAAUUUAAGGGGCAAAUGCUGGGAAAUAUACUCAGAAAAAUCUCAGGAAGAUGAGAGAAUAAAAGUUUUACAAAAUAAUAGAAGCAAAUGGUCUUUCAUGCCUGAACUUUCAGUUUUGUUUUUAGUUGAGCCUUCUUUCUAGUUUGAAAUAGAUUCAAAGCCUUUUUAAAAACAAGUAACUUUUUGGCCAGAUAUAUUAGGAUGUAUCCAUAUAAUACCAUAGAACCAAUUUUUAACAAGUUCUUAACUGAUAUGGAAGGAUCUCCAAGAUACAUUACUGAGUAACAAGCAGAUAUACUACUAUUUGAAUGAGAUGAAAAAAUCAAAAGAGAGUAUAUAUGCAUAUUUGUAUAGCAGUAGACUAUCUCUGGAAGAACAUUGCUUUGGGGGAUGGGCUGGGAGGACAGAGAGAGGCGACUGUCCUCUCUUUAUCUAAAUCCUUUGUCUGUUUGUUUUUAAAUGAUGUAAAUUAAUUACUUGUUUAAAAAAAUAAAUAAAACCUGAUAAAUAAUUAAA
Molecule: long non-coding RNA, 1830 nt
Organism: Bubalus bubalis (water buffalo)
Lineage: Eukaryota; Metazoa; Chordata; Mammalia; Artiodactyla; Bovidae
Exons: 2
Source: RefSeq, a predicted model, not a curated record